GGCCUAAUAGUUCACUGGUAGAAUUCUUGAAUUGGGAAUAUAAGAGAUCUCCGGUUCGAUCCCGGAUUAGGCCC
This 74-nucleotide transfer RNA is filed under the name Blumeria graminis f. sp. tritici 96224. Its description in RNAcentral is "tRNA-Pro (GGG) (tRNA-Pro-GGG-1-1)". It matches the Rfam family "tRNA". Rfam says of the family: Transfer RNA (tRNA) molecules are approximately 80 nucleotides in length. Their secondary structure includes four short double-helical elements and three loops (D, anti-codon, and T loops). The record is from RNAcentral. RNAcentral also lists the same sequence under 2 other names. Lineage: Eukaryota; Fungi; Ascomycota; Leotiomycetes; Helotiales; Erysiphaceae.